CUAUACUAUUCAGAGUUUGAUCCUGGCUCAGGAUGAACGCUAGCUACAGGCUUAACACAUGCAAGUCGCGGGGCAGCAUGAGGGUUGCUUGCAAUUCUUGAUGGCGACCGGCGUACGGGUGAGUAACGCGUAUCCAACCUGCCCAUCACUACGGGAUAACCCGUUGAAAGGCGGACUAAUACCGUAUGAUAUCGUCUGAUGGCAUCAGAUGACGAUUAAAGGUUUGGCGGUGAUGGAUGGGGAUGCGUCUGAUUAGGUAGUUGGUAAGGUAACGGCUUACCAAGCCUUCGAUCAGUAGGGGUUCUGAGAGGAAGGUCCCCCACAUUGGAACUGAGACACGGUCCAA
RNAcentral lists this ribosomal RNA (346 nucleotides) under uncultured bacterium. RNAcentral describes it as "bacterial SSU rRNA". It matches the Rfam family "Bacterial small subunit ribosomal RNA", at positions 1 to 334 of the family's 1533-position model. The record is from RNAcentral.